GACGAACGCUGGCGGCGUGCUUAACACAUGCAAGUCGAGCGAUGAACCCGGAGCUUGCUCUGGGGGAUUAGUGGCGAACGGGUGAGUAACACGUGAGUAACCUGCCCUGGACUCUGGGAUAAGCGUUGGAAACGACGUCUAAUACCGGAUAGGACCUUGGAUCGCAUGAUCUGGGGUGGAAAGUUUUUUCGGUCUGGGAUGGACUCGCGGCCUAUCAGCUUGUUGGUGAGGUAAUGGCUCACCAAGGCGUCGACGGGUAGCCGGCCUGAGAGGGUGACCGGCCACACUGGGACUGAGACACGGCCCAGACUCCUACGGGAGGCAGCAGUAGGGAAUAUUGCACAAUGGGCGAAAGCCUGAUGCAGCAACGCCGCGUGCGGGAUGACGGCCUUCGGGUUGUAAACCGCUUUUAGUAGGGAAGAAGGGCUUCGGCUUGACGGUACCUGCAGAAAAAGGACCGGCUAACUACGUG
RNAcentral lists this ribosomal RNA (472 nucleotides) under uncultured bacterium. RNAcentral's name for it is "partial 16S ribosomal RNA". It matches the Rfam family "Bacterial small subunit ribosomal RNA", at positions 28 to 507 of the family's 1533-position model. The record is from RNAcentral.